Molecule: ribosomal RNA, 305 nt
Filed under: uncultured bacterium
Lineage: Bacteria
Description: bacterial SSU rRNA
Rfam family: Bacterial small subunit ribosomal RNA
Source: RNAcentral
UGAAACCUACGGGGGGCAGCAGUGAGGAAUAUUGGUCAAUGGCCGGAAGGCUGAACCAGCCAAGCCGCGUGAGGGAGGAAGGCGCAGAGCGUCGCAGACCUCUUUUGCCGGGGGACAAAAGGCCGGACUCGUCCGGUCCUGAGGGUACCCGGAGAAAAAGCAUCGGCUAACUCCGUGCCAGCAGCCGCGGUAAUACGGAGGAUGCGAGCGUUAUCCGGAUUUAUUGGGUUUAAAGGGUGCGUAGGCGGGAUGCCAAGUCAGCGGUAAAAAUGCGGUGCUCAACGCCGUCGAGCCGUUGAAACUGG